UGGGGAAUAUUGCACAAUGGGCGAAAGCCUGAUGCAGCAACGCCGCGUGAGCGAUGAAGGCCUUUGGGUCGUAAAGCUCUGUCCUUGGGGAAGAAUAAAUGACGGUACCCUUGGAGGAAGCCCCGGCUAACUACGUGCCAGCAGCCGCGGUAAUACGUAGGGGGCAAGCGUUAUCCGGAAUUAUUGGGCGUAAAGAGUGCGUAGGUGGUUUCGUAAGCGCGAGGUGAAAGGCAAUGGCUCAACCAUUGUAAGCCUUGCGAACUGUGAGACUUGAGUGCAGGAGAGGAAAGUGGAAUUCCUAGUGUAGCGGUGAAAUGCGUAGAUAUUAGGAGGAACACCAGUGGCGAAGGCGACUUUCUGGACUGUAACUGACACUGAGGCACGAAAGCGUGGGGAGCAAACA
Molecule: ribosomal RNA, 403 nt
Filed under: uncultured prokaryote
Description: bacterial SSU rRNA
Rfam family: Bacterial small subunit ribosomal RNA
Source: RNAcentral